Molecule: ribosomal RNA, 419 nt
Filed under: Bradyrhizobium sp. R-38064
Lineage: Bacteria; Pseudomonadati; Pseudomonadota; Alphaproteobacteria; Hyphomicrobiales; Nitrobacteraceae
Description: bacterial SSU rRNA
Rfam family: Bacterial small subunit ribosomal RNA
Source: RNAcentral
GGCUCAGAGCGAACGCUGGCGGCAGGCUUAACACAUGCAAGUCGAGCGGGCGUAGCAAUACGUCAGCGGCAGACGGGUGAGUAACGCGUGGGAACGUACCUUUUGGUUCGGAACAACACAGGGAAACUUGUGCUAAUACCGGAUAAGCCCUUACGGGGAAAGAUUUAUCGCCGAAAGAUCGGCCCGCGUCUGAUUAGCUAGUUGGUAGGGUAACGGCCUACCAAGGCGACGAUCAGUAGCUGGUCUGAGAGGAUGAUCAGCCACAUUGGGACUGAGACACGGCCCAAACUCCUACGGGAGGCAGCAGUGGGGAAUAUUGGACAAUGGGGGCAACCCUGAUCCAGCCAUGCCGCGUGAGUGAUGAAGGCCCUAGGGUUGUAAAGCUCUUUUGUGCGGGAAGAUAAUGACGGUACCGCAAG